UACGGAGGGUGCAAGCGUUAUCCGGAUUCACUGGGUUUAAAGGGUGCGUAGGUGGGCAGGUAAGUCAGUGGUGAAAUCUCCGGGCUUAACCCGGAAACUGCCAUUGAUACUAUCUGUCUUGAAUACCGUGGAGGUGAGCGGAAUAUGUCAUGUAGCGGUGAAAUGCUUAGAUAUGACUUAGAACACCAAUUGCGAAGGCAGCUUGCUAAACAAAUAUUGACGCUGAGGCACGAAAGCGUGGGGAUCAAACAGG
RNAcentral lists this ribosomal RNA (253 nucleotides) under uncultured bacterium. RNAcentral's name for it is "partial 16S ribosomal RNA". It matches the Rfam family "Bacterial small subunit ribosomal RNA", at positions 524 to 776 of the family's 1533-position model. The record is from RNAcentral.